This 308-nucleotide long non-coding RNA is filed under the name Salmo salar (Atlantic salmon). RNAcentral describes it as "lncRNA (ENSSSAG00000114226.1)". Lineage: Eukaryota; Metazoa; Chordata; Actinopteri; Salmoniformes; Salmonidae. The record is from RNAcentral.
CUGGCUGUGUGUGUGAGUGUGUGUGUGUGUGGUAUGUGUGUGUGUGUGUGUGUGUGUGUGUGGUAUGUGAGUGUGUGUGUGCAUUGUGCUUCUGGCUGUGUGUGUGAGUGUGGGUGUGUGUGGUAUGUGUGUGUGUGUGUGUGUGUGUGUGUGUGGUAUGUGUGUGUGUAUGUGAGUGUGUGUGUGUGUGGUAUGUGGGUGUGUGUGCGCGCGUUCAGGCAUUAUGAUUCUGGUUUUGUUUGUGUGUGUGUGUGUGCGCGCGUUCAGGCAUUAUGAUUCUGGUUGUGUGUGUGUGUGUGUGUGUGUAG